CCUACGGGAGGCAGCAGUGGGGGAUAUUGCACAAUGGGGGAAACCCUGAUGCAGCGACGCCGCGUGGGUGAAGAAGCGCCUCGGCGCGUAAAGCCCUGUCAGCAGGGAAGAAAAUGACGGUACCUGAAGAAGAAGCCCCGGCUAACUACGUGCCAGCAGCCGCGGUAAUACGUAGGGGGAAAGCGUUAUCCGGAUUUACUGGGUGGAAAGGGGGCGGAGACGGGGGUGCAAGCCAGGAGUGAAAGCCCGGGGCCCAACCCCGGGACUGCUCUUGGAACUGCGUGGCUGGAGUGCAGGAGGGGCAAGCGGAAUUCCUGGUGUAGCGGUGAAAUGCGUAGAUAUCAGGAGGAACACCGGUGGCGAAGGCGGCCUGCUGGACUGCAACUGACGUUGAGGCCCGAAGGCGUGGGGAGCAAACAGGAUUAGAUACCCGAGUAGUC
Molecule: ribosomal RNA, 440 nt
Filed under: uncultured bacterium
Lineage: Bacteria
Description: partial 16S ribosomal RNA
Rfam family: Bacterial small subunit ribosomal RNA
Source: RNAcentral